Molecule: long non-coding RNA, 3189 nt
Organism: Bombus impatiens (common eastern bumble bee)
Lineage: Eukaryota; Metazoa; Arthropoda; Insecta; Hymenoptera; Apidae
Exons: 2
Source: RefSeq, a predicted model, not a curated record
AAUGGAGGAAAAAAAUGGUCGCGAGUUGAGCGCUGAAGCCAUACCCGAACGGAGGGACAAUGACUUGAGCAUGAAAAUCCGAUAUGCCGUGGCAGAAUUAAAUAUCCUCUGGCGUAAAAUCAAUGCAGGCGGUCGGUACUGAUUAAUUCGCGGGUCCACGGUUCCGCAGAUGGCGCGUUGAUCGUGGUACACCGGUGUGGCCCGGCGACGAUCGUUAAAAAACGUCUGCGCGCAUUCAAAAGCGCAUAAUAACCGGGAAAAAGAGAGCGAACCGACGCCGUGGAAUAUCGCGGAGAAGCGUGUAUCAAUUUCGAGAGAUGAAAAGUCGAGCAGAGGCGGAAGGUCGGUGGAGUACAAAUUACCGUGGGGCAGCUGCCCUCCGUUUGCGAUUCCCGUCGACUCGCGUGUAUAUAACACGAGACGAUGCGCGCAUGCGCGUUCUCUGUGUACGUUCACUUGCACAUCGAGGGGAACUAGGGUUGAAGAGGGAAAACAAACCAACGCGAAAGGGAAAAAUAAAUGCGCGGAGGUAAGACGAGUACAAGAGGGAAAAAGAAGGGAGGCGAGAAUCCUAAGCGAAAGAGAGAUAACCUAGCAAAGUAAUUUUCUUCAGAUGAGAAGAGCCCCCGAGAGAAAUAGACUCUUCGAUAAAGCUGCAGAAAACAGUCUAGGAAAAAUCGGACUAGGGAAAACAUUGACCGAACAUUGUGGGACGAUGUGGAAAAUACGAAACCUGAAGAAAAAGGGCCAGAGCACUCUACAUAGGAGGAGGAAGAAACAGAUUGAAAGAGAAAAAGAUGAGAUGAGAAGAAACGAGAAUGUAAAAGAGAAGCCAGAGAGGGAAUCAGGGAGUGGUACAACAGCGAACCGUCAAGGAGGGGGGCAUGCGUGGGGUUAGAGAGGGAGAGGGAGAUAGAGGGAGCAUGAAAAACGAGAAAGAGCGAGAACAAGACAAAGUCGAGCGAAGCGGGGAGAGAAGGGGAGGAGAAGGAUAAACGGAGGGUGAAUGGGUGGGUGGAAGGGAGAAGAAACAUGCCAGAGGACGAUGAACUCUGGCGGUAGGCAGCUUCCGUCGCCUGGCAACGUUCUCCUCCCUUUUCCUCCUCCUCUCCCUGAGGCUCCAAGCCGUUAUGUCGUGGUAUCGUACGUAGGCAGUCCUCGUCAUGGACGUAGUAGUCGUGUCAUCGUCUUCGUCAGUGACGAUCAUGGUAGUCGUUGUUGUAUUUUCACGUAGUCGUGGCUCGCAGCUUGCGCUGCGUAUUGAUCGUACGGAAUGCUGCUGCUAGCUGCUGCUGGUUGCUGGCUGCUCCAGCGCUGGCUAACAGUGAGCUUUAGCCACAGCCCUACACCAAGGACCAAUAGGACCACCACUUUCUCUCUCUCUCUCUCUCUUGACUUUCUACUCGGCUUAUACCCACCCAUUAUGGUUGCCCAAAAAUGAAAGUAAAUGCAGUAAACUAUCGUUACUGUAUCGUUUUAGACGAUAGAAAAAACUUCUGGUUGGUUAAUUUGAUAGGUGCGGUAGUUGGAUGAUUAUAGAAAAACAUAGGGAUGUGAUAAUGAAUGUUCUUUCAUACUGUUUCAUUUCUUGAAACCGUAGAAGAAUAAAAUAACGAUUUGUAUUUAGAAGAGAAAAUGUGCCCAAGUUGAAAUUGGAAAAUGUUACAGACGUUAAAAUAAUACAAAAUACUAUAAUACUUAAAUGCAGAAGAUUCACAUAGAGAUGAUAAUGAUACAAAGAUCUAAAUAUAUAGGUAAAAUGCAUGAGAAAAUUCUGGCCAUAAUUUUAUACGAUAUCGUUCACAUACUCAAAAUCCAUUAGCCAUGCAUCACAUGUGCUACAUGUGUGCAAAAUGUGAACAUCAAAUCAAUGACCCUACCGUGCCUUCUCCCCAUCAAACGUCGAACCUUCGUCUAAUUAUAUCGCAAUAUAUCUCAAAAUAACCCAACUUCAUCAUCAGCUAACUACACCUAUCACUUGUACCAAUACUAUGCUCUUACUUUACCAUAUAUAAAAUAGGAAAGCGACAUGUUUCACAACAUAACCAUAUUUCUUCCACUAGACACGAGGCAUACAAAUGAGGCACAGAUACAUCUAACUCAUGACACGACAAUAAUACAUUGGCUUCGAAAAGGAUUAAGAGUAAUGUAUGGAGCAUACAAAGGGGACAUAAAUACGUCCACAACAUUUCUAUUGUUCGCCAAUUGCAAGAGGAAAGCGCGCGUUCACCGACACCUACACGUCGUGCAGAAAUGUCGGACGGCUAUCAAUGGUUAGAACACGUCGUCUCGAUGAAAAUACCAGCGAGAGGUGAAUGGUUCGCGGCACGUGAAAAUAGUUUCACUACACAAGGCUAUGUCGUAAAGUCGGCCGCUACCGCGAAGAACCGAUCGAGCCGAAAAUGAAAGCAAACGCGAGCCGUGACUGCCAAGUCCAACGAACCUGCCACUUGGCAGCCGACGUCCGUGCUCAAGAGUGUCUUUAAUACACUGAACCCGCUAAACCUAAAUCCAUUUUAACCGCGGAGUGUCGGUGCCCGAUGUUGGCACAGAAAACUGUCACUGGCAUCCAUGAAAUUGCCAGUGAUCCGUUCGACACGGUUACCGAUGAGUCAGCCGAUUUUCUUGAAUGAAGUUUCUUUCUUACCCCGUGUUAACGAGACUCGUUGAAUUAGGGGAUGGAUAGGACGAUUCCAAUCGGUCGUCAAACACAUACACGAAAUUAUUAUUUGAUGUACAGGGAUGAGUCACGUAUAUGACUCACGAGGGAAUAGGUGCACAGGGUGUAAUUCAUGCAUGAGCACCGUUGCAACUAAGUUUACAAAGAGUCUCGCAGUAAUUUAUAGCCACGUAAUACGUGAAGAACUACUUUGAGAGAAUGACAGCGAAGGAAGUUGUAAAGCAGGAUAUGUUAUUGAUAGUUUAUAGUUGCAGGUCGUUAAAUGUGGCACGAGGUUUGUAGAAGGAAAGUGUCAAAACAUGAGGAGCGAAGAAGACAUUUUGUAUAGCUGAACGUGUCCUACUUUUCUGUAACACGUUUUUUUGCACGCUCUUUUAAAAUUAAAUUAAUGGCUACAAUCUUAUUGUAAUUUUAUAUAAUGCACUUGUAAUCUUAUCCACCAGAAUCUCUUUUUUGCUAAUGAAACUGGCGACUAAUGAAACGUAAUAUAAUAUACAGCGUUAUAAGGA